AGACGUCUACAUUAGUACCCGGGUAGUCCCAGUCGUAAACUAUGCGCGUUAGGUGUAUCGGUGACCACGAGUCACCGAGGUGCCGAAGGGAAACCGUGAAACGUGCCGCCUGGGAAGUACGGUCGCAAGGCUGAAACUUAAAGGAAUUGGCGGGGAGCACAACAACGGGUGGAGCCUGCGGUUUAAUUGGACUCAACGCCGGGAAGCUCACCGGAUAAGACAGCGGAAUGAUUGCCGGGCUGAAGACUCUGCAUGACUAGCUG
RNAcentral lists this ribosomal RNA (263 nucleotides) under uncultured archaeon. Its description in RNAcentral is "partial 16S ribosomal RNA". It matches the Rfam family "Archaeal small subunit ribosomal RNA", at positions 717 to 982 of the family's 1478-position model. The record is from RNAcentral.